ACGAACGCUGGCGGCGUGCUUAACACCUGCAAGUCGCACGGAAAGGCCCUGCUUUUGUGGGGUGCUCGAGUGGCGAACGGGUGAGUAACACGUGAGUAACCUGCCCUUGACUUUGGGAUAACUUCAGGAAACUGGGGCUAAUACCGGAUAGGAGCUCCUGCUGCAUGGUGGGGGUUGGAAAGUUUCGGCGGUUGGGGAUGGACUCGCGGCUUAUCAGCUUGUUGGUGGGGUAGUGGCUUACCAAGGCUUUGACGGGUAGCCGGCCUGAGAGGGUGGCCGGCCACAUUGGGACUGAGAUACGGCCCAGACUCCUACGGGAGGCAGCAGUGGGGAAUAUUGCACAAUGGGCGGAAGCCUGAUGCAGCAACGCCGCGUGCGGGAUGACGGCCUUCGGGUUGUAAACCGCUUUCGCCUGUGACGAAGCGUGAGUGACGGUAAUGGGUAAAGAAGCACCGGCUAACUACGUG
RNAcentral lists this ribosomal RNA (467 nucleotides) under uncultured bacterium. Its description in RNAcentral is "partial 16S ribosomal RNA". It matches the Rfam family "Bacterial small subunit ribosomal RNA", at positions 29 to 507 of the family's 1533-position model. The record is from RNAcentral.